GACGAACGCUGGCGGCGUGCUUAACACAUGCAAGUCGAACGGAAAGGCCCUGCUUUUGUGGGUUUCUCGAGUGGCGAACGGGUGUGUAACACGUGUGUAACCUGCCCUUGACUUUGGGAUAACUUCAGGAAACUGGGGCUAUUACCGGAUAGGAUCUCCUGCUGCAUGGUGGUGGUUGGAAAGUUUCGGCGGUUGGGGAUGGACUCGCGGCUUAUCAGCUUGUUGGUGGGGUAGUGGCUUACCAAGGCUUUGACGGGUAGCCGGCCUGUGAGGGUGACCGGGGACAUUGGGACUGAGAUAGGGAGCAGAAUGGUACGGGAGGCAGGAGUGGGGAAUAUUGCAGAAUGGGGGGAAGCGUGAUGCAGAAACGCAGGGAGCGGGAAGAAGGGGUACGGGUUGUAAACAGAUUUAGAAUGUGAAGAAGAGUGAGUGACGGUAAUGGGUAAAGAAGCAACGGCUAACUACGUG
This 468-nucleotide ribosomal RNA is filed under the name uncultured bacterium. Its description in RNAcentral is "partial 16S ribosomal RNA". It matches the Rfam family "Bacterial small subunit ribosomal RNA", at positions 28 to 507 of the family's 1533-position model. The record is from RNAcentral.